AUACUUUUUACAAGUCUGAAAUGGCACCCCUAAGGUUAAAACGGUCCAAAGUGUGGCUUCAUUUCACAUUACAUAAGGAUGGCAACAGGGCGUUUUGCAACCACUGCAAAUUGUUGAUAACAUCGGCGGGAGGGAAUACUUCAAAUAUGCAUAAACAUCUGCGCACACAACACGGGAUAAACUUUAACGAGUGUCGCGUUUUUGAUGCCCUUCGGAGUGACAGCAGCCAAGCUUCUACGACCACCGUGACCUUGGGGGCUAACACCGAAGGCAACUCUGGUGAUUUAGAACAAGAUGAUGACCGGGACGAGACGGGUAGUCUGGCUGACUCAGAGGCUAGCAGCACUUGCUCCCGUUUACCUCUGGCUUCUAUUUUCGUCGAGGCAGGCAGAAAUAAAAUGUCCCAGGCAAAGGUAGAAGAAUGUCACCGGGCAGUUACCAAAUUUGUUGUUAAGGGUUUGCACCCAUUUUCUACAGUAGACGCCCCUGAAUUUCGGUAGGUGAAUGUGAGGUUGUUGUCAGAUUAUCAAAUGUCAGAUUAGAAUAGAAUAGAAUAGAAUAUUUUCCUCCUCAUUAAACAGAUGUUUACACUCAUUCAUUUUCAUAUGUUUUCUAGGGAGAUGACAAAGGUUCUCAAUCCAAAAUACAAAGCCCCCAGCAGGGAAAGCUUAACCAACCACUUAAUCCCUGCUUGGUAUGGUGUGGAAAAGGGAAAUGUGAUCUCUGAACUGAAAACAGUGUCAAAGGCAGCUAUCACGGCUGAUGGGUGGACAAGCUUUUGUCAGGAUCAUUAUCUCACGGUUACUCUGCACUACGUGAGCAAUGGCCAGAGCUGCCCAAGCACAUGCUCCUCCUGGAUGUAAGGACCAGAUGGAAUUCCCUCUAUUUGAUGAUGGAGAGAUUCACCGAGCAGUUCCCUGCUAUCCAGGCUGCAGCCAUAGAUCCACGCAUAAGAAGGCCCAUGGAGAAGGAAAGGUUGGACAGAAUAGGCA
Molecule: long non-coding RNA, 992 nt
Organism: Eleginops maclovinus (Patagonian blennie)
Lineage: Eukaryota; Metazoa; Chordata; Actinopteri; Perciformes; Eleginopidae
Exons: 4
Source: RefSeq, a predicted model, not a curated record